RNAcentral lists this long non-coding RNA (562 nucleotides) under Equus caballus (horse). RNAcentral's name for it is "lncRNA (ENSECAG00000054229.1)". Lineage: Eukaryota; Metazoa; Chordata; Mammalia; Perissodactyla; Equidae. The record is from RNAcentral.
CCUUGUGGAGUCUGUUACUUUUUGGGAAAGGGAGGGAUUUUGACCCUGAAGAUUUCCGAAGUCCCUAGUUUGAAUUUCCUAGGGAAGUGAGAGAAAAGCUGGAUUCGGCUGGAGCCCGGUUGUGGCAGAAACUAUCCAGGCUUUGUGUAGGAGGAGAAAGAGGGAGAAUCAGAGCGAGGAGGAGGGCCAGAGCAUCCAAGGAGCCUCGUCCUUGAUCAAGAUGGGCGACGCGAGCCUGCUGAGGGGAAGAGCCAGGGUGACAAGGGCAGGAAGAGAGCGGAUGGGCUACUUCUUAAGAUCCACCUGGGGGACCAGAGACUCUGCUUCCACCUUUCACGCUGGGACUGGCUUGCCAGAACACAAGCUGUCUCUCAGUGAGCGAACACGCCGUCUUCCUUGCACUCAGAGAAGUUCUAGUUCUCACAGGAGUACAUGCCUGGGGUCUUCCCACAUUCCCUGUCAGGUGAUUUGCCUACUUCAGGAAAAUGCCGCCCAGCAAAUGCCUCAAGAAACAAAGACUGGAAAACUGGCUCCUUGGUUUGGAAGCGGCACUGUCUGAGAC